UGGUCAUAUUUGUGUUAGAAGUCAAAGC
This 28-nucleotide non-coding RNA is filed under the name Mus musculus (house mouse). The record is from RNAcentral. Lineage: Eukaryota; Metazoa; Chordata; Mammalia; Rodentia; Muridae.